UCUCACAAUGGAGGUUGAGCGC
RNAcentral lists this microRNA (22 nucleotides) under Gyrodactylus salaris (gyrodactylosis fluke). Its description in RNAcentral is "gsa-miR-67-5p". Its record names the gene gsa-miR-67-5p. Lineage: Eukaryota; Metazoa; Platyhelminthes; Monogenea; Gyrodactylidea; Gyrodactylidae. The record is from miRBase by way of RNAcentral.